This 492-nucleotide ribosomal RNA is filed under the name uncultured bacterium. Its description in RNAcentral is "partial 16S ribosomal RNA". It matches the Rfam family "Bacterial small subunit ribosomal RNA", at positions 29 to 507 of the family's 1533-position model. The record is from RNAcentral.
AGUGAACGCUGGCGGUAGGCCUAACACAUGCAAGUCGAACGGCAGCACAGUAAGAGCUUGCUCUUACGGGUGGCGAGUGGCGGACGGGUGAGGAAUACAUCGGAAUCUACUUUUUCGUGGGGGAUAACGUAGGGAAACUUACGCUAAUACAGCAUACGACCUACGGGUGAAAGCAGGGGAUCUUCGGACCUUGCGCGAUUGAAUGAGCCGAUGUCGGAUUAGCUAGUUGGCGGGGUAAAGGCCCACCAAGGCGACGAUCCGUAGCUGGUCUGAGAGGAUGAUCAGCCACACUGGAACUGAGACACGCUCCAGACUCCUACGGGAGGCAGCAGUGGGGAAUAUUGGACAAUGGGCGCAAGCCUGAUCCAGCCAUACCGCGUGGGUGAAGAAGGCCUUCGGGUUGUAAAGCCCUUUUGUUGGGAAAGAAAAGCAGCAGGUUAAUACCCCGCUGUUCUGACGGUACCCAAAGAAUAAGCACCGGCUAACUUCGUG